AAAUAGAUACCCUGGUAGUCCAUGCCGUAAACGAUGUCUACUAGCCGUUGGGGCCCUUGAGGGCUUUAGUGGCGCAGCUAACGCGAUAAGUAGACCGCCUGGGGAGUACGGUCGCAAGACUAAAACUCAAAUGAAUUGACGGGGGCCCGCACAAGCGGUGGAGCAUGUGGUUUAAUUCGAUGCAACGCGAAGAACCUUACCUGGCCUUGACAUACAGAGAACUUUCCAGAGAUGGAUUGGUGCCUUCGGGAACUCUGAUACAGGUGCUGCAUGGCUGUCGUCAGCUCGUGUCGUGAGAUGUUGGGUUAAGUCCCGCAACGAGCGCAACCCUUUUCCUUAUUUGCCAGCACUUCGGGUGGGAACUUUAAGGAUACUGCCAGUGACAAACUGGAGGAAGGCGGGGACGACGUCAAGUCAUCAUGGCCCUUACGGCCAGGGCUACACACGUGCUACAAUGGUCGGUACAAAGGGUUGCUACUGCGCGAGCAGAUGCUAAUCUCAAAAGCCGAUCGUAGUCCGGAUCGC
This 525-nucleotide ribosomal RNA is filed under the name uncultured bacterium. Its description in RNAcentral is "bacterial SSU rRNA". It matches the Rfam family "Bacterial small subunit ribosomal RNA", at positions 776 to 1301 of the family's 1533-position model. The record is from RNAcentral.